RNAcentral lists this long non-coding RNA (207 nucleotides) under Elaeis guineensis (African oil palm). RNAcentral describes it as "long non-coding RNA (EGUI_LNC047111)". The record is from RNAcentral. Lineage: Eukaryota; Viridiplantae; Streptophyta; Magnoliopsida; Arecales; Arecaceae.
ACAUCAAAGGCACAAGGGACCUCAUCCCGACGAGAGAGAAAACUCUUGUCGAAAAUCUCUAGUCCUUAAGGACAAAUCGACACAAUGGCAACCAGGAACCUUCAAACUACAUCGACAACGAACAAGACAGAAGAUAGAAGAAGUUCAGUGAACGACGAAUCAAUGCAAGAACCAGCAAGGGAUUACAAACUACGUCGAUGCCAAACA